This 405-nucleotide ribosomal RNA is filed under the name uncultured bacterium. Its description in RNAcentral is "partial 16S ribosomal RNA". It matches the Rfam family "Bacterial small subunit ribosomal RNA", at positions 28 to 526 of the family's 1533-position model. The record is from RNAcentral.
GACGAACGCUGGCGGCGUGCUUAACACAUGCAAGUCGAGCGGAGCGGCGAACGGGUGAGUAACGCGGGAGUAACUGCCCCCCUCUCUGGGAUAACAGUUGAAAACGGCUGCUAAUACCGGAUAGUGGGGGAUGCCUCGCGUCCUAUCAGCUUGUUGGUGGGGUAGUGGCCUACCAAGGGGACGACGGGUAGCCGGCCUGAGAGGGCGACCGGCCACAUUGGGUUGCGAUACGGCCCAGACGCCGACGGGGGGCAGAAUUGGGGGAUAUGUAGCAAUGGGCGAAAGCCUGAUGCGGCGAGGCCGCGUGGGGGAUGAAGGCUUUCGGGUUGUAAACCUCUUUCGCUAUCGAACGGGUAGGUGGAGAAGAAGCGCCGGCUAACUACGUGCCAGCAGCCGCGGUAAUUC